This 1192-nucleotide ribosomal RNA is filed under the name metagenome. RNAcentral describes it as "bacterial SSU rRNA". It matches the Rfam family "Bacterial small subunit ribosomal RNA", at positions 316 to 1520 of the family's 1533-position model. The record is from RNAcentral.
AUACUGAGACACGGAUCCGACUCCUACGGGAGGCAGCAGUAAGGAAUAUUGGACAAUGCCCGCAAGGGUGAUCCAGCCAUGCCGCGUGCAGGAAGACGGCCCUAUGGGUUGUAAACUGCUUUUACACCGGAGAAAACCCCACUACGUGUAGUGGGCUGAUAGUAUGGUGAGAAUAAGCAUCGGCUAACUUCGUGCCAGCAGCCGCGGUAAAACGAAGGAUGCAAGCGUUAUCCGGAUUCGUUGGGUUUAAAGGGAGCGUAGGUGGCCUUAUAAGUCAGUGGUGAAAUCUCUGGGCUUAACCCAGAAAUUGCCAUUGAUACUGUAGGGCUUGAGUAUAGUUGCCGUUGGCGGAAUAUGACAUGUAGUGGUGAAAUACAUAGAGAUGUCAUAGAACACCGAUUGUGAAGGCAGCUGACGAAACUAUAACUGACACUGAGGCUCGAAAGUGUGGGGAUCAAACAGGAUUAAAUACCCUGGUAGUCCACACUGUAAACGAUGAUUACUUGCUGCUAGAGGGCAACUUUUAGUGGCUUAGCGAAAGCGAUAAGUAAUCCACCUGGGGAGUACGCCGGCAACGGUGAAACUCAAAGGAAUUGACGGGGGCCCGCACAAGCGGAGGAGCAUGUGGUUUAAUUCGAUGAUACGCGAGGAACCUUACCAGGGCUUGAAAGUUAGGGAAUAACUCUGAAAGGAGUUAGUCAGCAAUGACCCGAAACUAGGUGCUGCAUGGCUGUCGUCAGCUCGUGCCGUGAGGUGUUGGGUUAAGUCCCGCAACGAGCGCAACCCCUACCAUUAGUUGCCAGCGGUUCGGCCGGGGACUCUAGUGGAACUGCCCGCGCAAGCGGUGAGGAAGGUGGGGAUGACGUCAAGUCAUCACGGCCCUUACGUCCUGGGCUACACACGUGCUACAAUGGCUAUUACAGAGGGCAGCUACAUGGCAACAUGAUGCAAAUCUUCAAAAAUAGUCUCAGUUCGGAUUGGGGUCUGCAACUCGACCCCAUGAAGCUGGAUUCGCUAGUAAUCGCGCAUCAGCAAUGGCGCGGUGAAUACGUUCCCGGGCCUUGUACACACCGCCCGUCAAGCCAUGAAAGCUGGGAGUAUUUAAAGUCGGUAGCCGCAAGGCGCCGCCUAGAGUAAAACCGGUGAUUGGGGCUAAGUCGUAACAAGGUAGCCGUACCGGAAGGUGCGGCUG